CUAUUAUGGAGAGUUUGAUCCUGGCUCAGGACGAACGCUGGCGGCGUGCCUAAUACAUGCAAGUCGAGCGGGUUUAUCCUUCGGGGUAAGCUAGCGGCGGACGGGUGAGUAACACGUAGGUAACCUGCCUUUAAGACUGGGAUAACUAUCGGAAACGAUAGCUAAGACCGGAUAACUGGUUUUCUCG
This 187-nucleotide ribosomal RNA is filed under the name Paenibacillus sp. Soil766. RNAcentral describes it as "partial 16S ribosomal RNA". It matches the Rfam family "Bacterial small subunit ribosomal RNA", at positions 1 to 188 of the family's 1533-position model. Lineage: Bacteria; Bacillati; Bacillota; Bacilli; Caryophanales; Paenibacillaceae. The record is from RNAcentral.